CGGAGAUGGGCUGGGUUAGACGGGGCAGGGCAAACGCCGACCCCGGCGUCCCGAGGGCUUCCCCCGUCCCGCCGGGGCAGGCGCCUCACCUGGUGCUCCUCCAGCUCCUCCACCAGUACCUAGGGACAGAAGGACACACAGACACACACAAAGGACGUGAGUCCACGGACCGCAGCGCAGCGGCUCCGCCGCCCCGUCCCGUCCGGUCCCGUCCCGUCCCGUCGCCGCCCGCCCGGCCCGGCCGGAGCGCCGGCUCCGCGCUCACCUGGGCGGAUUUCUUGCAGGGUCCGGACUGCAGGAACCGUGCGAUCAGCUUCCUGAAUUCUUGCCCUGUUACCAGAUGCUGAUGCAGAUGUAAGAAAUAUUUUAAUUUCUCUCAGCAAUGAAAUGAAACAGAACAUGACCAGACCUCCAGAAGAAGGAAAAAGGUGUUUGCUGGAGGGCAGGAAAACCCUGGAGCUGCUGAUAACUACAAGUCAUUCUGAUGAAAACAGAAAAAGUGGGUUAAAAGGAAUCAUGAAAAAAUACUCCAAAACAACUGUGGAGGAGGGAAGAGGAGUUUCUGCUCUGACCCUGGAGAUGAAAGAAUAAAGGACCCCUGGCUGGAUGGCGACACUCAACCCAUGAAGAGACACCACUGUCAGUGACAGAACACAAGGGGCAAAGAGAGCCCUGAGAAAACACUGCUCCUCUAUCAGCAAGGAAUCUGCUGGGACAAUCCCUCAGCAGCUGAUGGAGCCUGCAGCUGGACCUAGCAAAAGGCAGCUGAAGUAAGGAGCUGCCACAGCGAGGACCUGUGGGAAGAGGCUGCAGAUAAGAGACAAGAUCGAGUCUACUUUUCAAAUCUCUUGUUCAAUUGUUCUGAGCCAAAUAAUUGUUUUAAAGAAUUGUGUAGAAGUCAAAACCAGAUUUCUGGCCCAGCACCAACCCGUGCUGAGCCGCAGAGGAACCCAGCAGUCCAGAGGGGAUGUGCAAAGUCAGCUCAGGGCUGGAGGGUGGUGAUGUCCCUGGGUAAUGUCUCCACUGUUCCCCAAAUCUUGGGCAUUGCUGUGAGCCAGCCCCGAGAGGGACCAGGGCCAGCAGACAGCACCUGGGGAAGGGCUCCAGCACAGGGCAGGAAGGAGCUGCAAGGACAAGGCCGUUCCUGCAGGCUGUCCCUGGGAGCUGCCCUGGGCAGGUACCACAGCUGCUCUGUCCUCACAGAGUGGCAGUGACCCCCCACCCUCUGGAGCCCAGCAGAGCUCCUGCAGCUGUGCUUCCAGCACAUCUGGCUCUGUUCCCAGCUUAGU
Molecule: long non-coding RNA, 1289 nt
Organism: Motacilla alba alba
Lineage: Eukaryota; Metazoa; Chordata; Aves; Passeriformes; Motacillidae
Exons: 4
Source: RefSeq, a predicted model, not a curated record